AUUAGCUCAGUUGGUUAGAGCACCUGACUCUUAAUCAGGGUGUCCAGGGUUCGAAUCCCUG
This 61-nucleotide transfer RNA is filed under the name Clostridium massiliamazoniense. It matches the Rfam family "tRNA", at positions 8 to 63 of the family's 71-position model. Rfam says of the family: Transfer RNA (tRNA) molecules are approximately 80 nucleotides in length. Their secondary structure includes four short double-helical elements and three loops (D, anti-codon, and T loops). Further hydrogen bonds mediate the characteristic L-shaped molecular structure. tRNAs have two regions of fundamental functional importance: the anti-codon, which is responsible for specific mRNA codon recognition, and the 3' end, to which the tRNAs corresponding amino acid is attached (by aminoacyl-tRNA synthetases). tRNAs cope with the degeneracy of the genetic code in two manners: having more than one tRNA (with a specific anti-codon) for a particular amino acid; and 'wobble' base-pairing, i.e. permitting non-standard base-pairing at the 3rd anti-codon position. Lineage: Bacteria; Bacillati; Bacillota; Clostridia; Eubacteriales; Clostridiaceae. The record is from RNAcentral.